RNAcentral lists this ribosomal RNA (279 nucleotides) under uncultured bacterium. Its description in RNAcentral is "partial 16S ribosomal RNA". It matches the Rfam family "Bacterial small subunit ribosomal RNA", at positions 77 to 354 of the family's 1533-position model. The record is from RNAcentral.
UAGCAAUACUUUGGUGGCGACCGGCGCACGGGUGCGUAACGCGUAUGCAACCUACCUUUAACAGGGGCAUAACACUGAGAAAUUGGUACUAAUUCCCCAUAACAUUCGAGAAGGCAUCUUCUUGGGUUAAAAACUCCGGUGGUUAAAGAUGGGCAUGCGUUGUAUUAGCUAGUUGGUGAGGUAACGGCUCACCAAGGCAACGAUACAUAGGGGGACUGAGACGGUUAACCCCCCACAUUGGUACUGAGACACGGACCAAACUCCUACGGAAGGCAGCAG